UUCAUCACUGUUUAGCGUUAACGCUGCCGAAAACGCCUGGCCGGGUGUGUGAUGUUUAGGCAGGGAAGUCUCGAAAAUGUACUCGUUGUAAAACAGUAACUCGGCGAGUGAUCAUUAACUUGACCUAUCGCAGGACUUCAACAGUAAAUAUCAUGUAUUGCUUCCUCAGUGUUGGCGUUACACUACUAGUAUCCUGUGUUUAUGUCGGCUGUGAGAUAUGGACUGAAGUUAUUCUAUAAUUCUCUGUGGCUGCGUCUUAUCUGAGGCCCCGAGUUAGGCUUAGCUAGCUGGAUGCUGUCACGCUAACCUAGACACUCACCUGAGCUUUUCAGAUGGAAGGGAGCAAGACUCCUCUCUUCCCAGGGGGCCGGGAGAUUUAUAAGAAGACGCGUCGACUCCAAUUCUUCCGUCUGUCGAAUGUCUGAAUGAAUUUUAAUAAACGUCACCGGAAUUUCA
Long non-coding RNA from Ictalurus furcatus (blue catfish), 456 nucleotides. RefSeq lists it as uncharacterized. NCBI's taxonomy places the organism in Eukaryota, Metazoa, Chordata, Actinopteri, Siluriformes, Ictaluridae. The record is from RefSeq and is a predicted model, not a curated record. The transcript is spliced from 2 exons.